RNAcentral lists this small RNA (5760 nucleotides) under Pan troglodytes (chimpanzee). RNAcentral describes it as "retained intron". Lineage: Eukaryota; Metazoa; Chordata; Mammalia; Primates; Hominidae. The record is from RNAcentral.
GGUUGCAGUCUCGGCCUCGUGGCCUAGCACUGGUGUUGAGCAAUGUGCACUUCACUGGAGAGAAAGAACUGGAAUUUCGCUCUGGAGGGGAUGUGGACCACAGUACUCUAGUCACCCUCUUCAAGCUUUUGGGCUAUGACGUCCAUGUUCUAUGUGACCAGACUGCACAGGAAAUGCAAGAGAAACUGCAGAAUUUUGCACAGUUACCUGCACACCGAGUCACGGACUCCUGCAUCGUGGCACUCCUCUCGCAUGGUGUGGAGGGCGCCAUCUAUGGUGUGGAUGGGAAACUGCUCCAGCUACAAGAGGUUUUUCAGCUCUUUGACAACGCCAACUGCCCAAGCCUACAGAACAAACCAAAAAUGUUCUUCAUCCAGGCCUGCCGUGGAGGUGAGUGCCCUAGCAGACCAGCACCUGGGUGGUGGCUCCUGGGCGGCCUCCCACCAGCUCUCACUUUCCUGUUUGCUCCUCUCAGGUGCUAUUGGAUCCCUUGGGCACCUCCUUCUGUUCACUGCUGCCACCGCCUCUCUUGCUCUGUAAGUGUCUCCCAAUGCAUGGGGUGUGCUGGGACUUGGGCAGCCCAUGGCUCUCAGGCUGGUCAGCUCUCCGUGCACCACCAUAUCCUGUUCUCAGGUCUCUUAUCAGUGUCUUUGCCUUCCUUUCUGAGAACUCUUACUCUUUUCUGUGCUUCAUUAACUCUGGUGCCCUUUUUUUGGUUACUCAUUCCAGUUACGGAUUUUUGAUCUGUCUUUUUCCUGUCCUUCUUAUUUUAUCUCCUUUCUUUCACUCUUUGUCCUUUUCACUUGUACCAUGUACUUCCCUGUUUACCUACACUUCCAUGCUUGCCUCCUUUCUUCUUACCAUUCGUGGGUCAUGCAGGAUAGCAGAACAGAAUCCGUGUUGGCCUUUGACUCUUCCUUUUCUGUGAGCUGCUGCUGCCCCUCUUUCUCUCAUGCAGUCUGUUUUACUCCUUUAAGAGCCAGGACUGCAGGACAAGGAUUAAAAGACACAUAGGCGUGCUUCUCAUCCUGGAGGAAAAUAAUAGUAAUUAAGAGCCCUAACUUUGGAGUCAAAUUCUGACUUCACCAUUUACUAGUAACGUGAAGUUAAAGAAGUUAAAUGGCAUCCCUCCAUCUCAGUUUCCUCAAUAUAAAAUGAAAAUAGUCCUUGUACCUACUUCAUAAGGUGCUUGUGAUGGUUAAAUGAGAUUAUGCAUUUAAGGGCUUACAUAGCUCAGUACCUGGCUCACAGCACAUCCACAAAAUAUGCCAGCUGUAACUCUUAAAACACGAUCAGUGCCAUAAAGGGCUUAUAGUUUGCUUUAAAGGUCACUUUGUCCAAACAUUCAAAUAAUUACUUUUUUAAUCUCUCGUGUGGCCAAAUGUAAAUAGCUAAUAUUAUUGUCAUCCUGAUCUAGUAUUACCGCAGAAUAUAGUCUGCUAAGGCCCUGCAACAUGACUCAGACUACGGCAGUUACUACCGCAAAAGCAGAAGGAAAGGUGGCCUCUCUAAGGAGCAGACCAGUUACUCAGGAAAAUAAAGUAAAUAUAUAUGAAGUAGCUUAAGACUAGUUCACAGGCCUCAUGUAAGCAAAGGUGAAAUUAGCAAGGUACAAACUGUACUUAGGAAGGAGUAUGCAGUAAGAGUAGAUCAUUUUAAGUGAGGGUAGUUUAAAGAGAUUUUGUGGAUAAGAUAAGGCUUAAUUUGUACCCGGAGUAAUUUGAUUUACAUAGUUAUAGAGUAGUAUCUAGAGUCUGUCGUAGGAAAGAAACAAUACAAUAUGAUAAGCACACUGAGAUUCAGAGGGCAUGUUGUGUCUCCCCUCCUCCCAAACAAAUGCUCGGAUCUGAUCUUAAAACAGCAUCUGUGUGAGUAUGUGAGAUGUGGCUGGUCCCAGUGAAGUGGGUUCACCUCCUUACAAACCUUUAGUCAUAACUGAGAUUUUGGACAUCAGCAGGUAAAAGUAAGGAACAGCUGGGAGCUUAAGUAAGAAAUAAUGUGAUGAAUUGUUUUUCCAGCAAGGUUGCCGUGGAGGGGGCUGCACUAACGAAAGAGGUUAUGGGUCAGCAACUUUACUUUUCAUUCCCUGCUCUAUCCCCAGGCCCAGGGCACUGCCUGAUGCAUGGUAGCACUUAUAAAUGUUGAAUGAAUGGAUGAAAAUUAAUCUGGCUGAAAAACUGUAGGUAUUAUGUAAAAAACAAAUAUGAGGAUAUUGUGACAAAAGAACCAGUGGCAUUUAUUGAUUGAUGGAUCUGUGAUGUAAAGGUGAGAGAGGAAUUCUCCUUUCUCUUUAGCUUGGCCUGUUUCCUUUAGGCGUCUUUCUAACAAAACGACAUUAAAUUGUGAUUUUCUCCUCCUAUAUCCAGGUAUUUAAUACACUGUUGGAUCUGGAUAAGGAGUAAUUGCUCUUUUCUGGAGUAAUCUGGAUCUUUUGCUCUGUCUCUCUAACUUUUCUGAAAUUAAAUCCUUCAAGGAAUGACCAGUAGCCAAUUGUUCCAUUGAAAAUUUGAGUUCACCUGUCUUCCUGCUGUAUUUGGUUAAUAUAAUUAAUGUCUAGAAAAAGCUCCACCCCCCUGCCCCAGUCAGCUUCUAAACUGGAGUGUAAGCUCCAUGACGGCAGGAAUUUUCUCUUCACUCUAUCCCUAGGCCUUAAAGUAAGACAGUGCCCAACACAUGGCAGUUGCUUGACACAUUUUUAUUAAAUCUGUGCUUUGGUCCUUUUCCCCCCAAUUCUUGAAGCUUCCCUUCUUUCCUAGGCUCCCUCGACAUUGCAUGGAUCAGGAAGUACUGUAAAAGAGCAUACUCUUACUUUUGAUGUGUUGACCUGAGAGUCCUCCCCAUCUGUCUUUCCUACUGACAGCACCCCUGCCCACACCCAAAAUAAAACAACAUCAUCAAAAAUAAGAGUCUGUCUUGGGAUACAUAAGGCUUGUAUCAAGAGCAAGGAUCUGCUCAGGGUAUGUUGAGAAAUUACUGCUAAAAUUGAAUAAGGAUGAUCUUUUUAAAUUUUCUGGGAGAAAAUAGUCAAAUUCUCUUCAUUUUAAGUUUUUCCUCUUAAAAUUUUCAUAAGGCCAGGUGCAGUGACUCAUGCCUAUAAUCCCAACACUUUGGGAGGCCGAGGCAGAAGGAUCACUUGAGGCCAGGAGUUCAAGACAAGCCUGGUCAACGUAGCAAGACCCCAUCUCUAUUAAAAAAAGAAAAAAAAAAGAUUUAAAAAGUUAUUUUAAAAAAUAAAUUAAAAUUUUUUUUUCUUAAAUCUUGGAUGCUUGCUGUAAUUUAUCUUAUGAAGUUAAUAAACAUAGUGCUUCGAAGAUAUCAAAACCACCUUGGAAACAACUGAUCAUACUUAGUUUUAUUAUUUUUUUGAUACAUAGUUCGAGGUUGUAAUUUUUAUAUAGCAUACAUAUGGUAACCGUAUUUGUUAAUUACCUUGUUUUUUCUUGUUUAUGUAAUUAAAUAUAUCAAUAUUUUAUUAUGUAUUGCAAUAAAAAGCACUGUGACUCCCAGGCAUAUUGUUAAUUGAACAAGUGAGUUGUGGACUUAGAUGAUUUUCAGUUCCAUUUACAAGGAGUAUUUGAUUUGGCAUUUUCCCUGUCUUAUACAGAAUGGGAACUGCUCCAGCCGCAUAGAUGUGCAUGUGCUUGAGCGUGGUGCCCGGUGUGUAUGAGGCAUCCCCUGAGUAACAGAUGCAUGCUGAGAGAGUAAUAAUUUUUUUUUUUUUUUUUUUUUAGUUUAUCAGCCAUAGGUUGGAGGCAACAGCUGGAAAUGGCUCUUCCCCUUCAAGGUUGUAGGGAACGUGGGCUUGCCUGUGACAGGCCCAAGAGAGAUAGGAAGAAGUAACAUCAUUGUCCAUUGUGUCUGCCUUUGUUACAGAUGAGACUGAUCGUGGGGUUGACCAACAAGAUGGAAAGAACCACGCAGGAUCCCCUGGGUGCGAGGAGAGUGAUGCCGGUAAAGAAAAGUUGCCGAAGAUGAGACUGCCCACGCGCUCAGACAUGAUAUGCGGCUAUGCCUGCCUCAAAGGGACUGCCGCCAUGCGGAACACCAAACGAGGUUCCUGGUACAUCGAGGCUCUUGCUCAAGUGUUUUCUGAGCGGGCUUGUGAUAUGCACGUGGCCGACAUGCUGGUUAAGGUGAACGCACUUAUCAAGGAUCGGGAAGGUUAUGCUCCUGGCACAGAGUUCCACCGGUGCAAGGAGAUGUCUGAAUACUGCAGCACUCUGUGCCGCCACCUCUACCUGUUCCCAGGACACCCUCCCACAUGAUGUCACCUCCCCAUCAUCCACGCCAAGUGGAAGCCACUGGACCACAGGAGGUGUGAUAGAGCCUUUGAUCUUCAGGAUGCACGGUUUCUGUUCUGCCCCCUCAGGGAUGUGGGAAUCUCCCAGACUUGUUUCCUGUGCCCAUGAUCUCUGCCUUUGAGUGUGGGACUCCAGGCCAGCUCCUUUUCUGUGAAGCCCUUUGCCUGUAGAGCCAGCUUUGGUUGGACCUAUUGCCAGGAAUGUUUCAGCUACAGUUGAAGAGCCUCACAAGUGAAGUUGUAAACACAGUGUGGUUAUGGGGAGAGGGCAUAUAAGUUCCCCAUAUUUGUGUUCAGUUCCAGCUUUUGUAGAUGGCACUUUAGUGAUUGCUUUUAUUACAUUAGUUAAGAUGUCUGAGAGACCAUCUCCUAUCUUUUAUUUCAUUCAUAUCCUCCGCCCUUCUUGUCCUAGAGUGAGAGUUUGGAAGGUGUCCAAAUUUAACGUAGACAUUAUCUUUUGGCUCUGAAGAGGCAAACAUGACUAGAGACGCACCUUGCUGCAGUGUCCAGAAGCGGCCUGUGCGUUCCCUUCAGUACUGCAGGGCACCCAGUGGAAGGACACUCUUGGCUCGUUUGGGCUCAAGGCACCGCAGCCUGUCAGCCAACGUUGCCUUGCAUUUGUACCUUAUUGAUCUUUGCCCAUGGAAGUCUCAAAGAUCUUUCAUUGGUUGUUUCUCUGAGCUUUGUUACUGAAAUGAGCCUCGUGGGGAGCAUCAGAGAAGGCCAGGAAGAAUGGUGUGUUUCCCUAGACUCUGUAACCACCUCUCUGUCUUUUUCCUUCCUGAGAAACGUCCAUCUCUCUCCCUUACUAUUCCCACUUUCAUUCAAUCAACCUGCACUUCAUAUCUAGAUUUCUAGAAAAGCUUCCUAGCUUAUCUCCCUGCUUCAUAUCUCUCUCCUCUUUACCUUCAUUUCAUCCUGUUGGCUGCUGCCACCAAAUCUGUCUAGAAUCCUGCUUUACUGGAUCAUGUAAAUGCUCAAAGCUGUAAUGUAGUUCUUUGUUCCUGCUUUCUCCUUCAGUAUUAAACUCUCCUUUGAUAUUAUGUGGCUUUUAUUUCAGUGCCAUACGUGUUAUUUUUUUCAACCUAGAAACCUUUAUCCCUGCUUAUCUGAAACUUCCCAACUUCCCUGUUCUUUAAGACUUUUUUUUUUUUUUUUUUUUUUUGAGACGGAGUCUCGCCCUGUUGCCCAGGCUGGAGUGCAGUGGCGCUAUCGCGGCUCACUGCAACCUCUGCCUCCCAGGUUCAUGCCAUUCUCCUGCCUCAGCCUUCCAAGUAGCUGGGACUACAGGCGCCCGCCACUGUGCCCAGCUAAUUUUUUUGUAUUUUUAGUAGAGACAGGGUUUCACCAUGUUAGCCGGGAUGGUCUUGAUCUCCUGACCUCAUGAUCCACCCACCUCAGCCUCCCAAAGUGUUGGGAUUACAGGCGUGAGCCACUGCGCCCGGGCAAGACCUUUUUUU